RNAcentral lists this ribosomal RNA (510 nucleotides) under uncultured bacterium. RNAcentral describes it as "partial 16S ribosomal RNA". It matches the Rfam family "Bacterial small subunit ribosomal RNA", at positions 28 to 507 of the family's 1533-position model. The record is from RNAcentral.
GACGAACGCUGGCGGCGUGCUUAACACAUGCAAGUCGAACGAAGGGCGAUGGAAGCUUGCUUCUAUCAAUCUUAGUGGCGAACGGGUGAGUAACGCGUAAUCAACCUGCCCUUCAGAGGGGGACAACAGUUGGAAACGACUGCUAAUACCGCAUACGAUCUAAUCUCGGCAUCGAGGAUAGAUGAAAGGUGGCCUCUACAUGUAAGCUAUCACUGAAGGAGGGGAUUGCGUCUGAUUAGCUAGUUGGAGGGGUAACGGCCCACCAAGGCGAUGAUCAGUAGCCGGUCUGAGAGGAUGAACGGCCACAUUGGGACUGAGACACGGCCCAGACUCCUACGGGAGGCAGCAGUGGGGAAUCUUCCGCAAUGGACGAAAGUCUGACGGAGCAACGCCGCGUGAGUGAUGACGGCCUUCGGGUUGUAAAGCUCUGUUAAUCGGGACGAAAGGCCUUCUUGCGAAUAGUGAGAAGGAUUGACGGUACCGGAAUAGAAAGCCACGGCUAACUACGUG